AUUAACUCUGUGAUGAUACGCUCUUACCAGCUAGAAUGCUGAUAAUUUACCACAUGCUGCCUGGUUAAGAGCUGUGUCAAACACCUUUCAAAC
This 93-nucleotide microRNA precursor is filed under the name Schmidtea mediterranea. RNAcentral's name for it is "microRNA sme-mir-745 precursor". Its record names the gene sme-mir-745. The record is from miRBase by way of RNAcentral. Lineage: Eukaryota; Metazoa; Platyhelminthes; Tricladida; Dugesiidae.